Molecule: ribosomal RNA, 511 nt
Filed under: uncultured Bacteroidales bacterium
Lineage: Bacteria; Pseudomonadati; Bacteroidota; Bacteroidia; Bacteroidales
Description: bacterial SSU rRNA
Rfam family: Bacterial small subunit ribosomal RNA
Source: RNAcentral
GAUGAACGCUAGCUACAGGCUUAACGCAUGCAAGUCGCAGGGUAACAUGAGGAAAGCUUGCUUUCCUUGAUGACGACUGGCGCACGGGUGAGUAACGCGUAUCCAACCUUCCCAUAACUACGGGAUAACCCGUUGAAAGACGGCCUAAUACCGUAUGAUAUCGUUUGCUGACAUCAAAUAACGAUUAAAGGUUUAGCGGUUAUGGAUGGGGAUGCGUCUGAUUAGCUUGUUGGCGGGGUAACGGCCCACCAAGGCGACGAUCAGUAGGGGUUCUGAGAGGAAGGUCCCCCACAUUGGAACUGAGACACGGUCCAAACUCCUACGGGAGGCAGCAGUGAGGAAUAUUGGUCAAUGGGCGAGAGCCUGAACCAGCCAAGUAGCGUGCAGGAUGACGGCCCUAUGGGUUGUAAACUGCUUUUAUGUGGGGAUAAAGUGCGUGACGUGUCAUGCAUUGCAGGUACCACAUGAAUAAGGACCGGCUAAUUCCGUGCCAGCCGCCGCGGUAAAAGGG